Molecule: long non-coding RNA, 365 nt
Organism: Impatiens glandulifera
Lineage: Eukaryota; Viridiplantae; Streptophyta; Magnoliopsida; Ericales; Balsaminaceae
Exons: 3
Source: RefSeq, a predicted model, not a curated record
GAUCACAAAGUUACAAACGUUCACUGCAAUACCUGCAACUCUCUUUUGGGUUUCAAAUUCAUUGAAGUCCCGAUCUAUGAGGGUGGACCGUGUAAAGAGGAUUUCCUUAUUCCUUUGAAUACUCUGUUCAUGUAUGACGGCCACCAUUUCCUUGAUGCUCAAACUGAAGAGCUAAUAAUAGGAUAGCUGCAGAUACAACUGAUUUCCGACCCAUCAGCUUCGCCAAAUUACUAGUUAACCAAUUAUGAUUCGUUUCAUCAUUAGUUAAAAUAUAUAAAUAAUCUCUCUGUAAAUAAAUAAAUAAAUAAAUACAACAGCUUCCAUUUCCAUUAAUUAUUUGAUCCCAUCAUCAUCAUCAUCAAUCU